RNAcentral lists this ribosomal RNA (492 nucleotides) under uncultured bacterium. RNAcentral describes it as "partial 16S ribosomal RNA". It matches the Rfam family "Bacterial small subunit ribosomal RNA", at positions 29 to 507 of the family's 1533-position model. The record is from RNAcentral.
AGUGAACGCUGGCGGUAGGCCUAACACAUGCAAGUCGAACGGCAGCACAGUAAGAGCUUGCUCUUACGGGUGGCGAGUGGCGGACGGGUGAGGAAUACAUCGGAAUCUACUUUUUCGUGGGGGAUAACGUAGGGAAACUUACGCUAAUACCGCAUACGACCUACGGGUGAAAGCAGGGGAUCUUCGGACCUUGCGCGAUUGAAUGAGCCGAUGUCGGAUUAGCUAGUUGGCGGGGUAAAGGCCCACCAAGGCGACGAUCCGUAGCUGGUCUGAGAGGAAGAUCAGCCACACUGGAACUGAGACACGGUCCAGACUCCUACGGGAGGCAGCAGUGGGGAAUAUUGGACAAUGGGCGCAAGCCUGAUCCAGCCAUGCCGCGUGGGUGAAGAAGGCCUUCGGGUUGUAAAGCCCUUUUGUUGGGAAAGAAAAGCAGCAGGUUAAUACCCCGCUGUUCUGACGGUACCCAAAGAAUAAGCACCGGCUAACUUCGUG